This 445-nucleotide ribosomal RNA is filed under the name uncultured bacterium. Its description in RNAcentral is "bacterial SSU rRNA". It matches the Rfam family "Bacterial small subunit ribosomal RNA", at positions 330 to 792 of the family's 1533-position model. The record is from RNAcentral.
GCCAGACUCCUACGGGAGGCAGCAGUGGGGAAUAUUGCACAAUGGGGGAAACCCUGAUGCAGCAACGCCGCGUGAGUGAAGAAGUAUUUCGGUAUGUAAAGCUCUAUCAGCAGGGAAGAGAAUGACGGUACCUGACUAAGAAGCCCCGGCUAACUACGUGCCAGCAGCCGCGGUAAUACGUAGGGGGCGAGCGUUAUCCGGAUUUACUGGGUGUAAAGGGAGCGUAGACGGUUCUGCAAGUCUGAAGUGAAAGCCCGUGGCUUAACCGCGGAACGGCUUUGGAAACUGUGGAACUGGAGUGCUGGAGAGGCAAGCGGAAUUCCUGGUGUAGCGGUGAAAUGCGUAGAUAUCAGGAGGAACACCGGCGGCGAAGGCGGCCUGCUGGACCGCGACUGACGUUGAGGCUCGAAAGCGUGGGGAGCGAACAGGAUUAGAUACCCCUGUA